GCUCAAUGGUAGAGCGAUCGUAUCUUAACGAUAAGUGCAGGUUCAAUUCCUGC
RNAcentral lists this transfer RNA (53 nucleotides) under Nostoc punctiforme PCC 73102. It matches the Rfam family "tRNA", at positions 10 to 63 of the family's 71-position model. From Rfam's summary of the family: Transfer RNA (tRNA) molecules are approximately 80 nucleotides in length. Their secondary structure includes four short double-helical elements and three loops (D, anti-codon, and T loops). Further hydrogen bonds mediate the characteristic L-shaped molecular structure. tRNAs have two regions of fundamental functional importance: the anti-codon, which is responsible for specific mRNA codon recognition, and the 3' end, to which the tRNAs corresponding amino acid is attached (by aminoacyl-tRNA synthetases). tRNAs cope with the degeneracy of the genetic code in two manners: having more than one tRNA (with a specific anti-codon) for a particular amino acid; and 'wobble' base-pairing, i.e. permitting non-standard base-pairing at the 3rd anti-codon position. The record is from Rfam by way of RNAcentral. Lineage: Bacteria; Bacillati; Cyanobacteriota; Cyanophyceae; Nostocales; Nostocaceae.